Molecule: non-coding RNA, 717 nt
Organism: Saimiri boliviensis boliviensis (Bolivian squirrel monkey)
Lineage: Eukaryota; Metazoa; Chordata; Mammalia; Primates; Cebidae
Source: RefSeq, a predicted model, not a curated record
UUGGUGUUUUAAGUAUUCUUCAAGUCAAUUCUAUUCUUCAAGAUGGAAAUGAUGGAAAAAUAGAGUGUGCCAAAGAAACACAUGAGUCAGGAGCCAGCCCAAAGACAAUGGGGCCUAGGAAAGCCUUUCUGGAGAGGUAGGAGCUCGCAGUGAAGGCAGCUGCUUAACUUCUGCUGCACACUCCACACGCUGUGCUGCUCCUUUUGGAGCAAUUCAGUGUGUACUAAAGUUAAAGAUCAAUCAUCUGAAGUUCAAAGUCUUAGUACAUAAUUGUGUUUUUUUCUCUGUGGAAUGGAAGCUGUGCCAAAGGGAAGCUCCCACCUGGCCCAACUCCUCUCCCCAUUGUUGAGAAAUAUUCUACAGUUAAAUAGUAAGAACAUCAGCAAAUCCGUAAGCAUGUUGUUUACAGAGAAUUUGGUCUCUAAAGCCUGAAGGAAUGAUCCGGAAUCUGUCUUUUCCUUGAGAAAGCCAGUUACCAGACACUGUCCCUGGAAGUUCAUUCUUCGUAUGCUUUGGCUUUGGAUUUAAAGAGAUUGUGUCAGCACCCCAGCUUGUCCAUUUGUUAACUCACAUAUUUAAGCAGGAUUUAAAUCUCUCUUAGAUCAUGCUCAGCCUCCAAGCAGCCUCAAUGACAAAGAAUGUGGAGAAACAGAAGUUGAAUGAGCUCCUAAAACAGUCUAUCUUUCCUGGCUUUGCAGAAAAUUCUGGAGUCUGAAG